This 94-nucleotide microRNA precursor is filed under the name Cervus elaphus hippelaphus. The stretch from base 16 to 94 matches the Rfam family "mir-7 microRNA precursor family". From Rfam's summary of the family: This family represents the microRNA (miRNA) precursor mir-7. In this case the mature sequence comes from the 5' arm of the precursor. Lineage: Eukaryota; Metazoa; Chordata; Mammalia; Artiodactyla; Cervidae. The record is from RNAcentral.
AGACUGGAGCGGUUGUGGUCUAGUGCUGUGUGGAAGACUAGUGAUUUUGUUGUUCUGAUGUACUAUGACAACAAGUCACAGCUUCCUCAUAGCG